GGCGGACGGGUGAGUAAUGCCUAGGAAAUUGCCUUGAUGUGGGGGAUAACCAUUGGAAACGAUGGCUAAUACCGCAUAAUGCCUACGGGCCAAAGAGGGGGACCUUCGGGCCUCUCGCGUCAAGAUAUGCCUAGGUGGGAUUAGCUAGUUGGUGAGGUAAUGGCUCACCAAGGCGACGAUCCCUAGCUGGUCUGAGAGGAUGAUCAGCCACACUGGAACUGAGACACGGUCCAGACUCCUACGGGAGGCAGCAGUGGGGAAUAUUGCACAAUGGGCGAAAGCCUGAUGCAGCCAUGCCGCGUGUAUGAAGAAGGCCUUCGGGUUGUAAAGUACUUUCAGUUGUGAGGAAGGGUGUGUAGUUAAUAGCUGCNUAUCUUGACGUUAGCAACAGAAGAAGCACCGGCUAACUCCGUGCCAGCAGCCGCGGUAAUACGGAGGGUGCGAGCGUUAAUCGGAAUUACUGGGCGUAAAGCGCAUGCAGGUGGUUCAUUAAGUCAGAUGUGAAAGCCCGGGGCUCAACCUCGGAACUGCAUUUGAAACUGGUGAACUAGAGUGCUGUAGAGGGGGGUAGAAUUUCAGGUGUAGCGGUGAANUGCGUAGAGAUCUGAAGGAAUACCAGUGGCGAAGGCGGCCCCCU
RNAcentral lists this ribosomal RNA (637 nucleotides) under Vibrio sp. HR05-14. RNAcentral's name for it is "bacterial SSU rRNA". It matches the Rfam family "Bacterial small subunit ribosomal RNA", at positions 97 to 730 of the family's 1533-position model. The record is from RNAcentral. Lineage: Bacteria; Pseudomonadati; Pseudomonadota; Gammaproteobacteria; Vibrionales; Vibrionaceae.